AUAGGAGUUGAUUACAGAGCAA
Molecule: microRNA, 22 nt
Filed under: Mus musculus (house mouse)
Lineage: Eukaryota; Metazoa; Chordata; Mammalia; Rodentia; Muridae
Description: mmu-miR-7021-5p
Source: miRBase by way of RNAcentral